Physella acuta is the source of this 952-nucleotide long non-coding RNA. RefSeq lists it as uncharacterized. The record is from RefSeq and is a predicted model, not a curated record. NCBI's taxonomy places the organism in Eukaryota, Metazoa, Mollusca, Gastropoda, Physidae.
GGGCGGGGCCGUGUCAUUGAUUGACAGCUCCAGCAGAAGACCAGAGAACAUGUUUAUUCCGCUCUGACCUUCAUUAACUUCUGUAAGUUAAUUAGCCAUGUAAUUAUUCUGUCAUGACUUGAUUAGCCGUGUCAGGAGACGGCGUGUACCUGUGCCGUGUUUGACAGCUCCCCACUUGACCCCAGCACUCAGCAAACAGCUUCACAUAUUGUCUACAGCAAACAGCUUCCUGUUGAACUAUGACGUCAUUUGAGCUCGCGAUGCUUGCCUGUGUCACGUGGUCAUGUGUUGCCAUGACAACGUCAGAACCCCUAUUGAUUGUACUGCUUGACGGAUUUAGGUGGGAUUAUGCCGAGAAAUUCAACCUUAAAAGUUUCCAGCGUGUUUUUGACCUUGGGGUACGAGCUGGGUACAUGAAAAGUGACUUCCCGACCCUCUCCUACCCCAACUACUACACGCUAAUGACAGUGCCUCGGUGCGAUAGAAUGUAACAGAACAGGUCCUGUGACGUCAUACAUCUCUAUUGUCAUCGUAAAAUGACGGUUACAUCAGGGGGCGGAUGGUAGAAAAAUAACAUCAGAGAAACCUCAGUAAUCAUGACUAGACAGCAGGACAGAGAACUCUGGAGAGCUUUAUUUGGCGGCCCAUAGUCCAGCAGGACAGAGAACUCUGGAGAGCUUUAUUUGGCGGCCCAUAGUCCAGCAGGACAGAGAACUCUGGCUGUAGUUGGUGGCCCAUACUCCAGCAGGACAGAGAACUCUGGCUGUAGUUGGUGGCCCAUACUCCAGCAGGACAGAGAACUCUGGAGAGAUGUAGUUGGUGGCCCAUAGUCCAGCAGGACAGAGAACUCUGGCUGUAGUUGGUGGCCCAUAGUCCAGCAGGACAGAGAACUCUGGCUGUAGUUGGUGGCCCUUACUCCAGCAGGACAGAGAACUCUGGAGAGCUGUAGUUG